This 577-nucleotide ribosomal RNA is filed under the name uncultured bacterium. RNAcentral describes it as "bacterial SSU rRNA". It matches the Rfam family "Bacterial small subunit ribosomal RNA", at positions 28 to 596 of the family's 1533-position model. The record is from RNAcentral.
AUUGAACGCUGGCGGCAGGCUUAACACAUGCAAGUCGAGCGGUAACAGGGGGUGCUUGCACCCCGCUGACGAGCGGCGGACGGGUGAGUAAUGCUUAGGAAUCUGCCCAGUAGUGGGGGAUAGCCCGGGGAAACCCGGAUUAAUACCGCAUACGUCCUACGGGAGAAAGCAGGGGAUCUUCGGACCUUGCGCUAUUGGAUGAGCCUAAGUCGGAUUAGCUAGUUGGUGGGGUAAAGGCCUACCAAGGCAACGAUCCGUAGCUGGUUUGAGAGGAUGAUCAGCCACAUCGGGACUGAGACACGGCCCGAACUCCUACGGGAGGCAGCAGUGGGGAAUAUUGGACAAUGGGGGCAACCCUGAUCCAGCCAUGCCGCGUGUGUGAAGAAGGCUUUCGGGUUGUAAAGCACUUUCAGUAAGGAGGAAAACCUUACGGUUAAUAACCGUGAGGCUUGACGUUACUUACAGAAGAAGCACCGGCUAACUCCGUGCCAGCAGCCGCGGUAAUACGGAGGGUGCAAGCGUUAAUCGGAAUUACUGGGCGUAAAGCGCGCGUAGGUGGUUCGAUAAGCGGGAUGUG